GAUCCCAUAGUGUAGUGGUUAUCACUCUGGUUUCUGAUGCUGGCAACUGGGGUUCGAAUCCCCAUGGGGUCU
Molecule: transfer RNA, 72 nt
Filed under: Scheffersomyces stipitis CBS 6054
Lineage: Eukaryota; Fungi; Ascomycota; Pichiomycetes; Serinales; Debaryomycetaceae
Description: tRNA-Gln (CTG) (tRNA-Gln-CTG-2-1)
Rfam family: tRNA
About the family: Transfer RNA (tRNA) molecules are approximately 80 nucleotides in length. Their secondary structure includes four short double-helical elements and three loops (D, anti-codon, and T loops). Further hydrogen bonds mediate the characteristic L-shaped molecular structure. tRNAs have two regions of fundamental functional importance: the anti-codon, which is responsible for specific mRNA codon recognition, and the 3' end, to which the tRNAs corresponding amino acid is attached (by aminoacyl-tRNA synthetases). tRNAs cope with the degeneracy of the genetic code in two manners: having more than one tRNA (with a specific anti-codon) for a particular amino acid; and 'wobble' base-pairing, i.e. permitting non-standard base-pairing at the 3rd anti-codon position.
Source: Rfam by way of RNAcentral